Molecule: unclassified non-coding RNA, 337 nt
Filed under: soil metagenome
Description: partial contains 5.8S ribosomal RNA, internal transcribed spacer 2, and large subunit ribosomal RNA
Rfam family: 5.8S ribosomal RNA (bases 1-120)
Source: RNAcentral
GAUGAAGAACGCAGCAAAAUGCGAUAAGUAGUGUGAAUUGCAGAAUUCAGUGAAUCAUCGAAUCUUUGAACGCACAUUGCGCCCCUUGGUAUUCCAUGGGGCAUGCCUGUUCGAGCGUCAUUUGUACCUUCAAGCUCUGCUUGGUGUUGGGUGUUUGUCUCGCCUCUGCGUGUAGACUCGCCUUAAAACAAUUGGCAGCCGGCGUAUUGAUUUCGGAGCGCAGUACAUCUCGCGCUUUGCACUCAUAACGACGACGUCCAAAAGUACAUUUUUACACUCUUGACCUCGGAUCAGGUAGGGAUACCCGCUGAACUUAAGCAUAUCAAUAAGCGGAGGA